Molecule: ribosomal RNA, 428 nt
Filed under: uncultured Myxococcales bacterium
Lineage: Bacteria; Pseudomonadati; Myxococcota; Myxococcia; Myxococcales
Description: bacterial SSU rRNA
Rfam family: Bacterial small subunit ribosomal RNA
Source: RNAcentral
UGGGGAAUCUUGCGCAAUGGGCGAAAGCCUGACGCAGCGAUGCCGCGUGAGCGAUGAAGGCCUUCGGGUUGUAAAGCUCUGUGGAUGGAGACGAAUAAUGCAGGGUUAAUAUCCCUGUAGAUGACGGUAUCCAUUUAGCAAGCACCGGCUAACUCUGUGCCAGCAGCCGCGGUAAUACAGAGGGUGCAAACGUUGUUCGGAAUUACUGGGCGUAAAGCGCGUGUAGGCUGCAAUGUAAGUCGGAUGUGAAAUCCCGCGGCUCAACCGUGGAAGUGCACUCGAAACUGCAUAGCUAGAGUCUCGGAGAGGAAGGUGGAAUGCUUGGUGUAGAGGUGAAAUUCGUAGAUAUCAAGCGGAACACCGGUGGCGAAGGCGGCCUUCUGGACGAUGACUGACGCUGAGACGCGAAAGCGUGGGUAGCAAACAGG